GCCUAACACAUGCAAGUCGAACGGGAACCUCUGGAUUCGUCUGGAGGGGAGAGUGGCGAACGGGUGAGUAACACGUAGGUGACCUGCCCCGAAGACGGGGAUAACUGUUGGAAACGGCAGCUAAUACCCGAUGAACUUGACGAUUCGUUUCGUUGAGUAAAGGCUCCGGUGCUUCGGGAGGGGCCUGCGGCCCAUCAGCUAGUUGGUAGGGUAAUGGCCUACCAAGGCAAGGACGGGUAGGGGGCGUGAGAGCGCGAUCCCCCACACUGGCACUGAGAUACGGGCCAGACUCCUACGGGAGGCAGCAGUGAGGAAUAUUGCCCAAUGGGCGAAAGCCUGAGGCAGCAACGCCGCGUGGGUGAUGAAGGCCUUCGGGUUGUAAAACCCUUUUCUGGGAGAAGAGAAAGGACGGUAUCCCAGGAAUAAGCGUCGGCUAACUACGUGCCAGCAGCCGCGGUAAAACGUAGGACGCAAGCGUUAUCCGGAUUUACUGGGCGUAAAGAGCGUUGAGGCGGUUCCGUAAGUUGGACGUGAAAGCUCCCGGCUUAACUGGGAGAGGCCGUUCAAUACUGCGGGACUUGAGGACAGCAGAGGGGGGUGGAAUUUCCGGUGUAGUGGUGAAAUGCGUAGAUAUCGGAAGGAACACCAGUGGCGAAGGCGGCCCCCUGGGCUGUUUCUGACGCUGGAGGCGAAAGCUAGGGGAGCAAACGGGAUUAGAAACCCCGGUAGUCCUAGCCGUAAACGAUGGAUACUAGGUGUGGGAGAUGGAAAAGUUUUCCGUGCCGGAGCUAACGCGUUAAGUAUCCCGCCUGGGGAUUACGACCGCAAGGUUAAAACUCAAAGGAAUUGACGGGAGCCCGCACAAGCAGCGGAGCGUGUGGUUUAAUUCGAUGCUACGCGAAGAACCUUACCAGGGUUUGACAUGCAAGUGGUAGUGAAGCGAAAGCGGAACGACCCUUCGGGGAGCUUGCACAGGUGCUGCAUGGCUGUCGUCAGCUCGUGCCGUGAGGUGUUAGGUUAAGUCCUGUAACGAGCGCAACCCCUGCUGUCAGUUAUAUGUGUCUGACAGGACUGCCCGGCUCAACCGGGAGGAAGGUGGGGAUGACGUCAAGUCAGCAUGGCCUUUAUAUCCUGGGCUACACACACGCUACAAUGGCCAGUACAAUGGGUAGCCAAGCCGUGAGGCGGAGCCAAUCCUCCAAAGCUGGUCUCAGUUCGGAUUGUAGGCUGCAACUCGCCUACAUGAAGCUGGAGUUGCUAGUAACCGCAGGUCAGCCACACUGCGGUGAUACGUUCCCGGGCUUUGUACACACCGCCCGUCACGUCAUGGGAGUCGGCAACACACUGAAGCCGGUGGGCUAACCGAAAGGA
This 1371-nucleotide ribosomal RNA is filed under the name uncultured organism. RNAcentral's name for it is "bacterial SSU rRNA". It matches the Rfam family "Bacterial small subunit ribosomal RNA". The record is from RNAcentral.